Acomys russatus (golden spiny mouse) is the source of this 130-nucleotide small nucleolar RNA. RefSeq annotates it as small nucleolar RNA SNORA17. The record is from RefSeq and is a predicted model, not a curated record. Lineage: Eukaryota; Metazoa; Chordata; Mammalia; Rodentia; Muridae. The transcript has a single exon.
CCUGUCCCUAGAAGCAUUGCAAGAGUGGCUGCUGUGUCACAUGUGAGUCAGUAGGGGAGUGGGGGGGGGGGGGCAGGAGAGUUGGCCCCAUGUGGUCAUGAGAGCAGAAGAGCUGGUCCUGCCCCUCACC